Molecule: small nuclear RNA, 104 nt
Organism: Echinops telfairi (small Madagascar hedgehog)
Lineage: Eukaryota; Metazoa; Chordata; Mammalia; Afrosoricida; Tenrecidae
Source: Ensembl
AUGCUUGCUUCGGCAGCACAUGUACUAAAAUUGGAAUGAUACAGAGAUUAGCAUGGCCCCUGUGCAAGGAUGACAUGCAAAUUUGUGAAACAUUCCAUAAAUUA